This 1382-nucleotide ribosomal RNA is filed under the name Heterotricha takkae. Its description in RNAcentral is "partial 28S ribosomal RNA". It matches the Rfam family "Eukaryotic large subunit ribosomal RNA", at positions 402 to 1578 of the family's 3401-position model. The record is from RNAcentral. Lineage: Eukaryota; Metazoa; Arthropoda; Insecta; Diptera; Diadocidiidae.
AAACCGCUUAGGGGUUAAGCCCGAUGAACCUGAAUAUCUGAAUUGAGAAAUUCAAUACUAUUUCAGUAAUUUAUCUAAACAAUAAAUGAACGAUGGUAUGCACUUUUCUCAUAGUAAGACAUUGCGAUCCAUUAGUAUAUCUUUUAUGGAUGGUUUAUCAAACGGCCCGUUUGGUCAGUUUAUUCUAUCUGUGGCACUAGCUGUCAUAUGAAUAAUGCCGAUGCGGUGACCUGGUAAACAGCUGAUGGAGCUUAAAAAUCAUGCAGCCAUGCAUUAUGUAUCACGGUUUGAGUAUUUUUAAUAUUCGAAUGCAGUGAUCGCAUGUAUUUGAUUAGCAAUGCGAUAGAUUUGGGAUACCUUCGGGACCCGUCUUGUAACACGGACCAAGAAGUCUAACAUGUGUGUAAGUCAUUGGGUAUUUUGUUGAAACCUAAAGGCGCAAUUAAAAUAACUAUUAUUAUGGGAUUACAAGUGAAUUAAUAUUUCACUUCUCCAUCCCGGGGCGUUCUAUACGAACAUGGUUUAAGCAAUUAGAUCCUCUGUUCAAGAGCGUACCUUGAACAUACAUGCUGUGACCCGAAAGAUGGUGAACUAUACCUGAUCAGGUUGAAGUCAGGGGAAACCCUGAUGGAGGACUGAAGCAGUUCUGACGUGCAAAUCGAUUGUCAGAAUUGGGUAUAGGGGCGAAAGACCAAUCGAACCAUCUAGUAGCUGGUUCCCUCCGAAGUUUCCCUCAGGAUAGCUGGUGCAAUGAAAAAUCUAAUAUAUAAUCUUAUCUGGUAAAGCGAAUGAUUAGAGGCCUUGGGGCCGAAACGACCUCAACCUAUUCUCAAACUUUAAAUGGGUAAGAACCUCAUCUUUCUUGAUCUGAAGAUAUUGGGGUUUAGAUAUAUUGUGCCCAGUGGGCCACUUUUGGUAAGCAGAACUGGCGCUGUGGGAUGAACCAAACGUGAUGUUACGGCGCCUAAAUUAAUGACUCAUAUUGAUACCAUGAAAGGCGUUGGUUGCUUAAAACAGCAGGACGGUGGACAUGGAAGUCGUAAUCCGCUAAGGAGUGUGUAACAACUCACCUGCCGAAGCAACUAGCCCUUAAAAUGGAUGGCGCUCAAGUCAUAUGCCUAUACAUCACCGCUAGAAUAAAAAGGUUUUAGUUUUCGAAUUAAAAUUUGUAAAAUUCUAGUGAGUAGGAGGGUACAAUGGUGUGCGCAGAAGUGUUUGGCGUAAGCCUGCAUGGAGCCGCCAUUGGCACAGAUCUUGGUGGUAGUAGCAAAUAAUCGAAUGAGAUCUUGGAGGACUGAAGUGGAGAAGGGUUUCGUGUGAACAGUGGUUGAUCACGAGUUAGUCGGUCCUAAGCUCUAUGCGAAAGCUGUUUAAUUUAUGUU